Molecule: unclassified non-coding RNA, 504 nt
Filed under: Hevea brasiliensis (rubber tree)
Lineage: Eukaryota; Viridiplantae; Streptophyta; Magnoliopsida; Malpighiales; Euphorbiaceae
Source: RNAcentral
GGUUUGGGUUGAAACUCAGGCUGUCGUUGCGAGGCAGGCAAGGGUGUAGGAGGUGUUCCCUGGGUAUUUGGCACAGCACGAAAUGACCCACUACUUCUGGGUCUUGGCACUGAAGCAAUAGGACCCAAAGGUUUCCCACCAUUGGCAGGAACAGCAGCAAGGUUGCUGGAUUGUUCAACUAACUUGCGGCGUGCGAUAUUCGCCUGGUUCUGAAUAGUAUGGAUGAUGUGAGGCCUAGUUGAACUUGGUAGGUUGUCAGAGGAAUACCCUGUCUGAUUAUCCAAUGAGCCACUUUCAAGUUGUCUGGAGAACAGAGUGAAAUAACGCAGAAGUGUCCCUUUAAGUGGUCCGAUGAAGGAGUCUAUGGUUUUUAAUGGUAUCAGACUGCCAUGACAGAUGCAGUGUGCAAAUUUUCUAUGUAAACAGCAUGUUCCACCAGCAGCAGGGAUGAGUACUUCGUCAAAUUGCAAUUCGGAGAGCAAACGAAGCUUCCCAAUUUCAAAU